RNAcentral lists this ribosomal RNA (2871 nucleotides) under Escherichia coli. Its description in RNAcentral is "partial 23S ribosomal RNA". It matches the Rfam family "Bacterial large subunit ribosomal RNA". Lineage: Bacteria; Pseudomonadati; Pseudomonadota; Gammaproteobacteria; Enterobacterales; Enterobacteriaceae. The record is from RNAcentral.
UGGCAGUCAGAGGCGAUGAAGGACGUGCUAAUCUGCGAUAAGCGUCGGUAAGGUGAUAUGAACCGUUAUAACCGGCGAUUUCCGAAUGGGGAAACCCAGUGUGUUUCGACACACUAUCAUUAACUGAAUCCAUAGGUUAAUGAGGCGAACCGGGGGAACUGAAACAUCUAAGUACCCCGAGGAAAAGAAAUCAACCGAGAUUCCCCCAGUAGCGGCGAGCGAACGGGGAGCAGCCCAGAGCCUGAAUCAGUGUGUGUGUUAGUGGAAGCGUCUGGAAAGGCGCGCGAUACAGGGUGACAGCCCCGUACACAAAAAUGCACAUACUGUGAGCUCGAUGAGUAGGGCGGGACACGUGGUAUCCUGUCUGAAUAUGGGGGGACCAUCCUCCAAGGCUAAAUACUCCUGACUGACCGAUAGUGAACCAGUACCGUGAGGGAAAGGCGAAAAGAACCCCGGCGAGGGGAGUGAAAAAGAACCUGAAACCGUGUACGUACAAGCAGUGGGAGCCUCUUAAUGGGGUGACUGCGUACCUUUUGUAUAAUGGGUCAGCGACUUAUAUUCUGUAGCAAGGUUAACCGAAUAGGGGAGCCGAAGGGAAACCGAGUCUUAACUGGGCGUUAAGUUGCAGGGUAUAGACCCGAAACCCGGUGAUCUAGCCAUGGGCAGGUUGAAGGUUGGGUAACACUAACUGGAGGACCGAACCGACUAAUGUUGAAAAAUUAGCGGAUGACUUGUGGCUGGGGGUGAAAGGCCAAUCAAACCGGGAGAUAGCUGGUUCUCCCCGAAAGCUAUUUAGGUAGCGCCUCGUGAAUUCAUCUCCGGGGGUAGAGCACUGUUUCGGCAAGGGGGUCAUCCCGACUUACCAACCCGAUGCAAACUGCGAAUACCGGAGAAUGUUAUCACGGGAGACACACGGCGGGUGCUAACGUCCGUCGUGAAGAGGGAAACAACCCAGACCGCCAGCUAAGGUCCCAAAGUCAUGGUUAAGUGGGAAACGAUGUGGGAAGGCCCAGACAGCCAGGAUGUUGGCUUAGAAGCAGCCAUCAUUUAAAGAAAGCGUAAUAGCUCACUGGUCGAGUCGGCCUGCGCGGAAGAUGUAACGGGGCUAAACCAUGCACCGAAGCUGCGGCAGCGACACUAUGUGUUGUUGGGUAGGGGAGCGUUCUGUAAGCCUGUGAAGGUGUACUGUGAGGUAUGCUGGAGGUAUCAGAAGUGCGAAUGCUGACAUAAGUAACGAUAAAGCGGGUGAAAAGCCCGCUCGCCGGAAGACCAAGGGUUCCUGUCCAACGUUAAUCGGGGCAGGGUGAGUCGACCCCUAAGGCGAGGCCGAAAGGCGUAGUCGAUGGGAAACAGGUUAAUAUUCCUGUACUUGGUGUUACUGCGAAGGGGGGACGGAGAAGGCUAUGUUGGCCGGGCGACGGUUGUCCCGGUUUAAGCGUGUAGGCUGGUUUUCCAGGCAAAUCCGGAAAAUCAAGGCUGAGGCGUGAUGACGAGGCACUACGGUGCUGAAGCAACAAAUGCCCUGCUUCCAGGAAAAGCCUCUAAGCAUCAGGUAACAUCAAAUCGUACCCCAAACCGACACAGGUGGUCAGGUAGAGAAUACCAAGGCGCUUGAGAGAACUCGGGUGAAGGAACUAGGCAAAAUGGUGCCGUAACUUCGGGAGAAGGCACGCUGAUAUGUAGGUGAAGUCCCUUGCGGAUGGAGCUGAAAUCAGUCGAAGAUACCAGCUGGCUGCAACUGUUUAUUAAAAACACAGCACUGUGCAAACACGAAAGUGGACGUAUACGGUGUGACGCCUGCCCGGUGCCGGAAGGUUAAUUGAUGGGGUUAGCGGUAACGCGAAGCUCUUGAUCGAAGCCCCGGUAAACGGCGGCCGUAACUAUAACGGUCCUAAGGUAGCGAAAUUCCUUGUCGGGUAAGUUCCGACCUGCACGAAUGGCGUAAUGAUGGCCAGGCUGUCUCCACCCGAGACUCAGUGAAAUUGAACUCGCUGUGAAGAUGCAGUGUACCCGCGGCAAGACGGAAAGACCCCGUGAACCUUUACUAUAGCUUGACACUGAACAUUGAGCCUUGAUGUGUAGGAUAGGUGGGAGGCUUUGAAGUGUGGACGCCAGUCUGCAUGGAGCCGGCCUUGAAAUACCACCCUUUAAUGUUUGAUGUUCUAACGUUGGCCCCUGAUCGGGGUUGCGGACAGUGUCUGGUGGGUAGUUUGACUGGGGCGGUCUCCUCCUAAAGAGUAACGGAGGAGCACGAAGGUUGGCUAAUCCUGGUCGGACAUCAGGAGGUUAGUGCAAUGGCAUAAGCCAGCUUGACUGCGAGCGUGACGGCGCGAGCAGGUGCGAAAGCAGGUCAUAGUGAUCCGGUGGUUCUGAAUGGAAGGGCCAUCGCUCAACGGAUAAAAGGUACUCCGGGGAUAACAGGCUGAUACCGCCCAAGAGUUCAUAUCGACGGCGGUGUUUGGCACCUCGAUGUCGGCUCAUCACAUCCUGGGGCUGAAGUAGGUCCCAAGGGUAUGGCUGUUCGCCAUUUAAAGUGGUACGCGAGCUGGGUUUAGAACGUCGUGAGACAGUUCGGUCCCUAUCUGCCGUGGGCGCUGGAGAACUGAGGGGGGCUGCUCCUAGUACGAGAGGACCGGAGUGGACGCAUCACUGGUGUUCGGGUUGUCAUGCCAAUGGCACUGCCCGGUAGCUAAAUGCGGAAGAGAUAAGUGCUGAAAGCAUCUAAGCACGAAACUUGCCCCGAGAUGAGUUCUCCCUGACUCCUUGAGAGUCCUGAAGGAACGUUGAAGACGACGACGUUGAUAGGCCGGGUGUGUAAGCGCAGCGAUGCGUUGAGCUAACCGGUACUAAUGAACCGUGAGGCUUAACCUU